Non-coding RNA from Cordylochernes scorpioides, 73 nucleotides. The record is from the annotation of a GenBank genome assembly. NCBI's taxonomy places the organism in Eukaryota, Metazoa, Arthropoda, Arachnida, Pseudoscorpiones, Chernetidae.
UCCAGGGUAGCCUAGUGGACAUGGCAUCUGCCCAGUAAGCGGAACACUGUGGGUUCGAUUUCCAUCCCUGGAC